UUGCGUCACGAAGUCGGCAGCCAAUGAAACGAGGUGCUGGAAAAGAGGGAUUGGGUUUGAAUCUUGUUGCCGAGUUUGAAUCGCGGUGAGGCGGACAUCGAAGUGAAGUGUCGCGGUAACCUUUGGUGGACUAGAGGUCCUAGUGUUAACUUGGCAAAGGUCAGUCGGGAAUCUCCUCUGAGUCUCAGUUGUAGCGUCAAGAUAAGACCUGCCAGCACUGUGUAACGGGAUUGCCAAGAAUCAGAUGAGAGAAAUAUUCAGGCUUUCACAUAAACAGAAGCAAGAUAGUCAAUAAUGUCUGUCACCGAGGAAGACCUGUGUCACCACAUGAAAGUAGUUGUUCGUGUGCGUCCUGAAAAUACAAAAGAAAAGGCAGCUGGAUUCCAUAAAGUGGUCCAUGUUGUGGAUAAGCAUAUCCUAGUUUUUGAUCCCAAACAAGAAGAAAUCAGUUUUUUCCAUGGAAAGAAAACUGCAAAUCGAGAUAUUACAAAGAGACAAAAUAAGGAUCUCAAAUUUGUAUUUGAUGCUGUUUUUGAUGAAACUUCAACUCAAUUGGAAGUUUUUGAACACACUACUAAGCCAAUUCUUCGUAGUUUUUUGAAUGGAUAUAAUUGCACAGUACUUGCAUAUGGUGCCACUGGAGCUGGGAAGACCCACACGAUGCUAGGAUCAGCUGCUGAACCUGGAGUGAUGUAUCUAACGAUGUUAGACCUUUACAAAUCUAUGGAGGAGAUUAAAGAAGAGAAAGUAUGUAGUACCGCAGUUUCUUAUCUGGAGGUAUAUAAUGAACAGAUUCGUGACCUCUUAGUAAAUUCAGGACCACUUGCCGUUCGGGAAGAUGCCCAAAAAGGGGUAGUUGUUCAGGGGUUGACUUUACAUCAGCCCAAGUCCUCAGAGGAAAUUUUACAGUUGUUGGAUAAUGGAAACAGAAAUAGGACACAGCAUCCCACUGAUAUGAAUGCCACAUCUUCUCGUUCUCAUGCUGUUUUCCAGAUUUAUUUGCGACAACAAGACAGAACAGCAAGUAUCAGUCAAAAUGUACGAAUUGCCAAGAUGUCACUCAUUGAUCUGGCAGGGUCUGAGCGAGCCAGUACUACCAGUGCUAAAGGGACCCGAUUUAUAGAAGGCACAAAUAUUAAUCGGUCACUCUUAGCUCUUGGGAAUGUUAUCAAUGCCUUAGCAGAUGCAAAGAGAAAGAAUCAGCAUAUUCCUUACAGAAAUAGUAAGCUCACUCGCUUGUUAAAGGAUUCUCUUGGAGGAAACUGUCAAACUAUAAUGAUAGCUGCUGUUAGUCCUUCCUCUGUGUUCUACGAUGACACAUAUAACACUCUUAAGUAUGCUAAUCGUGCAAAGGACAUUAAAUCUUCUUUGAAGAGCAAUGUUCUUAACCUUGACAAUCAUAUAACUCGGUAUGUAAAGAUCUGUAAUGAGCAGAAGGAAGAGAUUUUAAUGUUAAAAGAAAAACUAAAAGCCUAUGAAGAACAGAAAGCCUUUACUGAUGAAAAUAACAAAGCAAAGUUAAUGAUUUCAAACCCUCAGGAAAAAGAAAUUGAAAGAUUUCAAGAAAUUCUGAACUGCUUGUUCCAGAAUCGAGACGAAAUUAGACAAGAAUAUCUGAAGUUGGAAAUGUUACUAAAAGAAAAUGAACUUAAAUCAUUCUAUCAACAACAGUGCCAUAAGCAAAUUGAAAUGAUGUGUUCUGAAGACAAAGUAGAAAAGGCCACUUGCCGACGAGAUCAUAGACUUGCAAUGUUGAAAACUCGUCGCUGCUACCUAGAGAAGAAAAGGGAAGAGGAAUUGAAGCAAUUUGAUGAGAAUACUAAUUGGCUCCAUCGUGUAAAAUCCGAAAUGGAGCUCUUAGGUCAAAAUGGCCAUAUUCCAAAGGAGCUCAGUAAAGAUCUUCAUUGUCAUCAUUUGCACCUUCAGAACAAAGACUUGAAAGCACAAAUUAAACAUAUGAUGGAUCUAGCUUGUCUUCAAGAACAGCAACACAGGCAAACUGAGGCAGUAUUGAAUGCUUUGCUUCCAGUCCUAAGAAAACAGUAUUGUGCAUUAAAAGAAGCUGGCCUUUCAAAUGCUGCUUUUGAGUCUGACUUCAAAGAAAUUGAACAUUUGGUAGAGAGAAAGAAAGUGGUGGUUUGGGCUGACCAAACUAAUGAGCAUACUUUAAAGCAAAAUGACCUAACAGGGGUUUCUGUUCUUAUGACCUUUCCACAACUUGGACCACCAGAUCAAUCUCCUUGUUGUACAUCUUCAAGUGAAUCUAAUCUGUUUAAAAUCCUUCCACAAAAAAGAACCCGAAGAAAAUUAAUGCCUUCUCCCUUGAACACAAAACAUCCCCAAAAGUCUACACUGUCUGAAAGUUUGCAGCUCAAUGAUUCUCUCAGCAAAGAACUUCAACCUAUUGUGUAUACGCCGGAAGACUGUAGAAAAACUCAAAAUUCAUCUAUAGUGACCUUACUACAACCAUCAUCACAUUCUACAAGUUUUCAGACCAUCAGCUCAAAUGUAAACAGUGAUAAUUCUCUGAAAAUGUUAUGUGAAGCAGGUAUUCCUCUCAGCAGGAGGAAAGAAUAUGCACAGGAAGAUUUGGACUCUACAUUUACUAUAUGUGAAGACACCAGGAGCUUAAAAAGUAAAUUACCUGAACAAGAAUCACUAUCAAACAAUAACAUUUUACAAAGGCUUGCCUCUUCUUCAUUUUCAACUAAACAUUCUCUGCCUAUACCAAGCAUAGUACCAUCCUACAUGGCAAUGACUGCGGCUGCCAAAAGGAAACGGAAGUUGACAAGCAUUUGCCAAGCAUCAAGUGUAGAGGCCAAGCACAAAAUGGAAGACUCCAGCUACCAGCAAUCUCACUGAUCUAAGGAAAGAAAAUAGUUCUAUAUGUAGCUUUUGCCUUCAAGAUGUUUGCCAAGUUCUGAAUUCUGUGGCAUAAGAGGCCAAGAAAUAAAGCCGAAAGAAGCAGAAGUAUUAAGUAGAGUUUUGACAUUCUCAUGCAGCUGGGACACAAAAACUGUACCGGGAUCCAUCAAGAAGAAAAGUUCUGCAUCAAAUACUUCAUUAACUGCGGAGGUAAAUUCUGGAUUUGCCAAACGUGUUCGACAAGAUAAUGCAAGUGAUAAGCACUUACAAGAAAACAGAC
This is an RNA transcript of Acinonyx jubatus (cheetah), 3145 nucleotides long. It is a transcript of the gene named kinesin family member 18A, with no coding region annotated. The record is from RefSeq and is a predicted model, not a curated record. Lineage: Eukaryota; Metazoa; Chordata; Mammalia; Carnivora; Felidae. The transcript has 18 exons.